UAUCCGGAAUUAUUGGGCGUAAAGCGUCCGCAGGUGGCUAUUCAAGUCUGCUGUCAAAUUCCAGGGCUCAACCCUGGUUCGGCAGUGGAAACUGGAUAGCUAGAGUACGGUAGGGGCAGAGGGAAUUCCUGGUGUAGCGGUGAAAUGCGUAGAUAUCAGGAAGAACACCGGUGGCGAAAGCGCUCUGCUGGGCCGUAACUGACACUCAUGGACGAAAGCUAGGGGAGCGAAAGGGAUUAGAUACCCCUGUAGUCCUAGCUGUAAACGAUGGAUACUAGGUGUUGGACGUAUCGACCCGUUCAGUACCGUAGCUAACGCGUUAAGUAUCCCGCCUGGGGAGUACGCACGCAAGUGUGAAACUCAAAGGAAUUGACGGGGGCCCGCACAAGCGGUGGAGUAUGUGGUUUAAUUCGAUGCAACGCGAAGAACCUUACCAGGGC
This 440-nucleotide ribosomal RNA is filed under the name Leptolyngbya sp. KUAC 3214. RNAcentral describes it as "bacterial SSU rRNA". It matches the Rfam family "Bacterial small subunit ribosomal RNA", at positions 542 to 980 of the family's 1533-position model. Lineage: Bacteria; Bacillati; Cyanobacteriota; Cyanophyceae; Leptolyngbyales; Leptolyngbyaceae. The record is from RNAcentral.